This 253-nucleotide ribosomal RNA is filed under the name uncultured bacterium. RNAcentral's name for it is "partial 16S ribosomal RNA". It matches the Rfam family "Bacterial small subunit ribosomal RNA", at positions 524 to 776 of the family's 1533-position model. The record is from RNAcentral.
UACAGAGGUCCCAAGCGUUACUGAGAAUCACUGGGUUUAAAGGGUGCGUAGGUGGUCCGUUAAGUCAGUUGUGAAAUCCCCGGGCUCAACCCGGGAACUGCUUCUGAUACUGGCGGACUUGAGGCCAGUAGGGGUCACUAGAACUGACGGUGGAGCGGUGAAAUGCGUAGAUAUCGUCAGGAAUGCCGGUGGUGAAGACGGGUGACUGGGCUGGUUCUGACGCUGAGACGCGAAAGCGUGGGGAGCGAACAGG